UGUAGGAUCCCGUGAACCAUCGAGUCUUUGAACGCAAGUUGCGCCCGAAGCCAUUAGGCUGAGGGCACGUCUGCCUGGGCAUCA
RNAcentral lists this ribosomal RNA (84 nucleotides) under Thunbergia laurifolia. RNAcentral describes it as "partial 5.8S ribosomal RNA". It matches the Rfam family "5.8S ribosomal RNA", at positions 73 to 154 of the family's 154-position model. Rfam says of the family: 5.8S ribosomal RNA (5.8S rRNA) is a component of the large subunit of the eukaryotic ribosome. It is transcribed by RNA polymerase I as part of the 45S precursor that also contains 18S and 28S rRNA. The record is from RNAcentral. Lineage: Eukaryota; Viridiplantae; Streptophyta; Magnoliopsida; Lamiales; Acanthaceae.